UGCGGGGUGGAGCAGUGGCAGCUCGUCGGGCUCAUAACCCGAAGGUCCCCAGUUCGAAUCUGGGCCCCGCUA
This 72-nucleotide transfer RNA is filed under the name Chloroflexi bacterium RBG_16_57_11. RNAcentral's name for it is "tRNA-Met". It matches the Rfam family "tRNA". Rfam says of the family: Transfer RNA (tRNA) molecules are approximately 80 nucleotides in length. Their secondary structure includes four short double-helical elements and three loops (D, anti-codon, and T loops). The record is from RNAcentral. Lineage: Bacteria; Bacillati; Chloroflexota. RNAcentral also lists the same sequence under 1 other name.